Non-coding RNA from Pteropus alecto (black flying fox), 119 nucleotides. NCBI's taxonomy places the organism in Eukaryota, Metazoa, Chordata, Mammalia, Chiroptera, Pteropodidae. The record is from Rfam.
GUCUACGGCCAUGCCACCCCGAACACGCCCGAUCUCGUCUGAUCUCGGAAGCUAAGCAGGGUCAGGCCUGGUUAGUCCUUGGAUGGGAGACCACCUAGGAAGACCAGGUGCUGUAGGCG